Molecule: non-coding RNA, 867 nt
Organism: Paramuricea clavata
Lineage: Eukaryota; Metazoa; Cnidaria; Anthozoa; Malacalcyonacea; Plexauridae
Source: the annotation of a GenBank genome assembly
UUCCCUUUCUAAAAUGAAAUAUACGGUCAAUAAAUAUACAGAACGUCCCUAUACACAUUACAUUACAGGUUUGUAGCUUAUAGCUCAUAUGGUCUGGCUUAGCCAGCUGUACUCAAUGAGGCUGUACUCUUCUCAAAAAUAUCACACAAUAAUGUCGACCACGUAUAUUUUUAUUUGGUUUAACUAUGCGUGGUGUUUCCACAAAACAAAACAAUAGUGCUUUUAUGACGUCAAAUGCGGAAAAACACUUAAUGAUAAUUUUAUGAAAUUUAUUGACCCGCCAACACUUUGCAUUGUCCUGUGGGACAUCACAUAAAUUGGUUUUCCGCGUUUGACGUCAUAAGAAAGGUCUAUUAUACUUUUUCAGUCGCUAUGCAAACAUGCAAAGAAAUGUAUACCAUGCUGAUACUCUUAUCUUGUCUUAAAAAAACUGUAUGUUCAAAUUUAAAAGAUUAUUUAAGUAUUCUCAUGGAAAAAUAUGCAUUUAAGUAGAAGGUUAUCCAAAAAUGGCUAUUCCCUAAACCCGGUUUGGUCAUGGCAGUCGAAACCGUUUACCUGAUGCCUAGCUCGCCAUCCGCAAGCAAAUAAACGCCUGCUACGCAGGCUACCUGAUGCCUGGUAUGCUUGAUUUAAUAUAUGUGUCGCGAUACAGUUCUGAAAUCAGUGAACUGAUUUGAUGACAACACACAAAAGACAAGAUAGAUCCAUCACGAUCAGCGGCGCCGGAAGCAACGUGAAGUGGUGGGGGUAGUCUUAAGCCCGAGACACAUCAGACGCGAUUCGACAACGCGGCGCGAUUUUUCAGUUUUUGAAAGUUUACAAAACAGCCAAUGAAUUAAAGGAAAUUUUAAAAGAUAUGUAGACCAA